CAAUAGCGUAUAUUAAAGUUGUUGCAGUUAAAAAGCUCGUAGUUGGAUUUCUGGUGGGAGCGAUCGGUCUGGCGCUUAGCGCGAGUACUUGCAUCAUCUCCGGCCAUCCUUGGGGAGAGUCUGUCUGGCAUUAGGUUGUCGGGCAGAGGAUCCUCAUCGUUUACUGUGAAAAUAUUAGAGUGUUCAAAGCAGGCUUAUGCCGUUGAAUAUAUUAGCAUGGAAUAAUAAGAUAGGACUUUGGUACUAUUUUGUUGGUUUGCGCACCAAAGUAAUGAUUAAUAGGGACAGUUGGGGGUAUUCGUAUUCCGUUGUCAGAGGUGAAAUUCUUGGAUUUACGGAAGACGAACUACUGCGAAAGCAUUUACCAAGGAUGUUUUCAUUAA
Molecule: ribosomal RNA, 383 nt
Filed under: uncultured eukaryote
Lineage: Eukaryota
Description: partial 18S ribosomal RNA
Rfam family: Eukaryotic small subunit ribosomal RNA
Source: RNAcentral